GGGCCGGUAGCUCAGCCUGGAAGACGGCCCCAUAAGCGUCGUUUGGGCGAGAGAGCAUCUGACUUUUAAUCAGGUGGUCGCGGGUUCGAAUCCCGUCCGGCCCA
RNAcentral lists this transfer RNA (104 nucleotides) under Candidatus Woesearchaeota archaeon. RNAcentral's name for it is "tRNA-Lys". It matches the Rfam family "tRNA". From Rfam's summary of the family: Transfer RNA (tRNA) molecules are approximately 80 nucleotides in length. Their secondary structure includes four short double-helical elements and three loops (D, anti-codon, and T loops). Further hydrogen bonds mediate the characteristic L-shaped molecular structure. tRNAs have two regions of fundamental functional importance: the anti-codon, which is responsible for specific mRNA codon recognition, and the 3' end, to which the tRNAs corresponding amino acid is attached (by aminoacyl-tRNA synthetases). tRNAs cope with the degeneracy of the genetic code in two manners: having more than one tRNA (with a specific anti-codon) for a particular amino acid; and 'wobble' base-pairing, i.e. permitting non-standard base-pairing at the 3rd anti-codon position. Lineage: Archaea; Nanobdellati; Candidatus Woesearchaeota. The record is from RNAcentral.